Molecule: transfer RNA, 72 nt
Organism: Pterocles gutturalis (yellow-throated sandgrouse)
Lineage: Eukaryota; Metazoa; Chordata; Aves; Pterocliformes; Pteroclidae
Rfam family: tRNA
About the family: Transfer RNA (tRNA) molecules are approximately 80 nucleotides in length. Their secondary structure includes four short double-helical elements and three loops (D, anti-codon, and T loops). Further hydrogen bonds mediate the characteristic L-shaped molecular structure. tRNAs have two regions of fundamental functional importance: the anti-codon, which is responsible for specific mRNA codon recognition, and the 3' end, to which the tRNAs corresponding amino acid is attached (by aminoacyl-tRNA synthetases). tRNAs cope with the degeneracy of the genetic code in two manners: having more than one tRNA (with a specific anti-codon) for a particular amino acid; and 'wobble' base-pairing, i.e. permitting non-standard base-pairing at the 3rd anti-codon position.
Source: Rfam
AGAAACUUGGCAUAAACCUUAAACCGAAGGCCUUCAAAGUCUUAAAUAAGAGUUAAACCCUCUUAGUUUCUG